Long non-coding RNA from Syngnathus typhle (broad-nosed pipefish), 1473 nucleotides. RefSeq lists it as uncharacterized. The record is from RefSeq and is a predicted model, not a curated record. The transcript is spliced from 6 exons. NCBI's taxonomy places the organism in Eukaryota, Metazoa, Chordata, Actinopteri, Syngnathiformes, Syngnathidae.
GACGCAUUGACUGUGCGCCCAGACUGUUAAAAAACUUAUUUCAAUAUCCCACUGUAAAAGAAAAAAGGAAAUAAGAUAAAAUACUACACAGAGACUAAGAAGUACACAAUGACUAAAAUAUCCUGAUCCAAACCAAGGAGAGGUGAAUCGUUUACAACGCUACAUUCCUGGACCUUAUGCCGGCGAGAGUACAACAAAAUUUUAAACGGCCGUUUGAAUAUGUGUCAUCUCAUCAGAUGCCCAUAGAAGCGUGAACUGACCUUUUAAAUUCAGGGGUCGCUGUCUCUGCCUGUCCAAAUGGCCGAGUGGAACUCCCUUAGGGCCACCUCAGACACUUCGAUAAACCUCUCCGGGACCUGGAGACAGCGAGAAAAAGGUCCGGCUCAUGUGUGGGCGAGUCGUGUCCUUCCAGCAGCUUCUCGGCAUGUUCCAGAUACUCAGCGAUCCUACGAACGACGGCCUCUUUUCGCGCUGGAUCCGGAUCGUCUGGAAAAUAAGAAUUCACGGUUGCGAGGAGAAUCCCAAAUCAGGUCGUUGUCAGAAAGCACGGGCCAGACAUCCUCCUUCGGUGGUGAGGCGCAAACCUCGGCCGCCACGUCGAAAAGCGACUCAACCUCCUCUUGAGACGUUUCCGAUGUGCUCCUUCUGGCUGCGGACGUGACUAGAGGUUGCAAAGGCCUCCGCCGCCACUUCCGGCUUCCCCAUGUCAAUCCGUAGAUUGGUGCCCAGGUCCUGGGGCAAAGUGGGGGCCUCCCUGCCGGCCUCCUCCUCUGCCGGCUCACAGUCCGAGGCUCUCCGCUUGGGGAGGGGGAUGAGAGGAGGAGGUAGAGCGACGGAGUCGGGGGAGGGGUCCUGCGGCCUCGUGACAUCUCCGUCCUGAGGAGGACAAAACGUAAAUUGAUAUUGUUCCAGAUGAGGGUAUUGUACUGUUCUUGGAGACGUGCCAACUUCCGUAAGCUCAUCAGUACAGCACUAACUGUUCUUUGCAGAGGAUCAUGAAUGUAUGACAGAGUGCUCUUGUGAGCGGAACCAGAAAUGGGUUUAUAUAUUUAUAUCAUUACCCUGAAGAAGUCAAUAAGGUGUGGGCUCUUGUAGAGUGCGGGUAUGCCCAUACAGAAGAGCAGCAUGUCUUCCGCAGCCUUCCUCCUCUCCUCAAUCACAGCCUCGUCAAAUCUUCCUGCCCACAGGAACGUCACAAUGCUCACGUAGCAAAGACGAGACAACCGAGAUGUCAGAUUGUUUCCCCAGAAGCCAGUCGACGGUGGGGCCCACCUCUGCCAAAGAGUUGCGCUGUGGGAAACGCCGGGAAUUCCUCCUCUCUUCGGAACAGGUUCCUGUGGGUGUUGGCCAGCUCGGCGUGGAGCUUCUUCAGCUCGGAGUACCUCGUCCACACGACCACCUCUUUCACGUCCUCGGGGCAAGGCUUGGGCACAAACUAGAAAGUAAAAGGAUCCAAUCCAUGUUGAGAUUGAA